RNAcentral lists this transfer RNA (56 nucleotides) under Macropostrongyloides spearei. Its description in RNAcentral is "tRNA-Asn". The record is from RNAcentral. Lineage: Eukaryota; Metazoa; Nematoda; Chromadorea; Rhabditida; Strongylidae.
AAGAGUUAGUUUAUAAAAGAAUUAUUGACUGUUAAUCAAAAGGAGUAUCUCUUAAA